Molecule: long non-coding RNA, 10802 nt
Organism: Columba livia (rock pigeon)
Lineage: Eukaryota; Metazoa; Chordata; Aves; Columbiformes; Columbidae
Exons: 7
Source: RefSeq, a predicted model, not a curated record
UCUAUUGUGUACAAAUUUACAAAUGAACUGCUUGAGUGUUGACUAAUACUGCAGCCUGCAGUCAAGGUAAGAGCCCAUUUAUUUAUAGGCUCUUCAAGGACAAGAAGACGCUGUAUUUGUACAAUCUUCCACAGCACACAGCCUAACAAACAGUUACCUGCCUCAGCCGCCUUUCAGAAGAGGACGAUAUAUGAGACCCUCAAGGAAAAUACACAGGUUAGCCAGCAUCUUCUGGCAGGAAGGUCAUGCUACACCAUCGGCUUUUGACGAUGGCAGAGCUGCGAAUGUAUAAAGAGGGAUCUUUCUUUCUUUCUCUUUUUCUUUUUUCCCCCCACACCAUCAGUUUGAUUGGAAGUGUGUCCAGGAGAUUACUCGGGACAUCUUGCUGAGCCAAGCCAGGAGCAGACGGUCCCAGAUGAUGCGUCUGUGCAGCACCCACUCAUUUAAAUCAGGCUGCGUGUUUGCAAUCGAUGGGACUGUCUGAUCCCUGGAUGCUGGGGAGCUUCUUUUUCUAUUUCCUGCUGAUAUUUACUUCAAAGGUGCGUGGUCAUACAGAUCACUGUAAUAGCAAGAGCCCCAAAAAAAAGGAAUUAAUAAAACUCUGAGUGUGUUUUACCCUGAGAUCUCACGGUGCUCGACAAAGGAAAGGUACCAUCAGUUCUUUUUAUACGGGGGCAGAAAGAGGUGAAAUGAUUUAUUUAUCCAUGCUCGUGCAGUGAAUCAGUGGUAAAGCAGGGAGCUGGACCUUUCCAGCUGUUCUUUGAGGCUUCCUAUAAUGUCCGUUGGAACAGUCCUAAAACAUUUGCCCUUUGAGAGUGCAUUCUGCCCCUGCUGCUCUGUGCAGAAAUUAGCCCUGUGAAGAAAAGUUCAGCUUUGCAGUGGCCAGGGCUGGAGCAAACAAAAAGCAGAGAUCUGGUGUCUUAAAGCACAUCAACUUGAAUUCAUGGUCAAAGCGGUAGAAGGGCACACAGAAAGGGCACACAUGAGAUGACUAUGGGAGAAUAUGAGCUGCCUGGUGGAUCUGGGCUUGAAAAUCAAUUAUUUCAACUCAUGCUCCCUGUGUUUAGAGGAGCUGGCAUUGGUUUGCCCACUGGACAUGCCUUUGGUGAGAGUCGGAGCAGUAGCUGGGUGCUCCCCAGCCCCAAAACCCUUGGAGACGCCAAGCAGAUCUGAGCAAAGAGCCCUUCUGCCUUGUCUAUGGGUUUUUCUGCAUUCACAAUGCAUAGUGUCGCUGUCAUUAAGGCUACAAGAAAACAGCACAUCCAGGGCACACCCAGAGGACAGAGACUGUCGACGGCUUGCGCUGAACAGAGCAAAGGUCUGGAAGGAAGCCUGGUGGGAUGUGGUCCAUCUGACCUGUCGGCGUGUUCAUCUCGCUCUUCAGGGCAGCGCUCAAGGCUGGGUCGGGAGAUGCCCGAGCAUCCAGCCUGUGGGGGAGAGAUUGAUCCUGCGAGAGGUCAGCCCGUGCUGCCCUUUGGCUGCGGUGCAUGCUGCAGGUUUGGAGUGGUGGGAGCUCUGAGAGCUGCAGGGAGAGGAAAAGCCAGAGGUCCCUGGUGCUUUGCAUCAUCUGGUGGGGAUGCACAUGGAGAGGGACAGCAAAAUUGCAGGUGCUUCCUAUAUAAAGUAUUGCUGGGAAGUCAGCUGCACAUCAGACAUCGUGUACCUGGGGUACUUACCCCAAAUAUUUAGGCACUGCCAAAUAUUUAAUUACGCAGGGGAAGGUACCACUUAGGCUGGGAUGUCUUGGCUUCAUUAAAGAGGCUGCAGAAAUCAUUGUGCUCUCCCCUUGGGCUCUGUGAAGGAAAAUCCUGCUGAUGGAGUCAAUUGAAUCUGGAGGGGCCAGAAAGCUAUUGAGCCCCAGGUUAGCAGAGGAUUUUGAGGCAGAAAUGCUCGCAUCUGGGCAUUAGAGCAUCAGUGUAACCAAGCUUCCAGGCAGUUUAAACAGGUGCCGUGAGCUGAUAGCAAAAUACUUUCUGUGCAGCCCAGGGCCCUUGCUCCAUGUCCCCACAAAUUUAAUUCAUGGGGAUGAGACAGCAAUGAAUUUGCCAUUCGUUAACAACAAAUAAUCUCUCAAUCCGUCUUGGGUAAGCGUCGUCGUGGAACUGCUCUUUCAUUUUACAGGGUUCCCUGUGAUAAAUUUAGCUUGUAAAGGGUGAUUAAGAUACUUCAUUGUGUUUUAAUGUGCCUCUAGGCCUAUGUCUAAUAGUAAUGCUCAUUCUAGAUCUCUCUGGAAACAGUCGGCUGCUGCAGCCCAGAAAAGCCUGAGUUACGGGAUGGGACAUCAUGGCACAUCACGGUCCUGGGCAGCACCAGAGGCACCCGCUUCAUGGUGGGAACAUCGAGGAGUCCGAAAUCACAUCUUGGCUGCUGGAGACAGCCCAGGUCAGCACCUCAGCCAGAUGGGAUCUGUGAGGUUACAAGGCACUGACUGAGAACCCCAGGAGCAUCGUUCACGUAGGUGAGUGUUAAACUCAGACAUUAAAGGAUCUCUGCCAAUUACCUGAAGCUCAACAUUUGAUCUGCCUGAAAAUCUCACUGAUCCGUGGGGGAAUGCUCCUCCGUCUGCAUCCCGAGUGCUGCAUCUCCUUGCUCAGUGCGGUGUAAAAGGUGCGGUCGAAGAUGUUUGUGCAUUGGAAGGAGAGAGAAAUCAGCUCUCCCCACGCGUUCUCUGCAGCGGAGCUGGAUCAAAGGGCCACGAUGCCCCAGCCCAGGGCCCUGGUGGCUGCAACAUCCACAGGGGGAAGAGACCACAGAGACCUGUGAAAGACGCUGCCACGUUUGCUGAAGGACGAGGCGAUGUCCAAGAGUGGCUCUCAGGGUCGUUAUUCCAUUAUCAAUCCUCAAUGGCUCCAUCGUCGCCAUGGCGUUUUUCCUGAUUGAUACCUCUUGUCAUUGACAUGAGACUCUGCUCCCUCCACACUUUAUGAGAAGCCAGCCGUUUUUGCAGCAAGAAAACAAGGAGGGAGGUUAUUCCCCAACACAGUCGCACUGAAUGGCCUGCAGGCAUGUUCAUCCCAUUGCUCUGGUGUGCGCGGUGAGCUCGGACCAGCGGGACAUCCCACCUCCUCCUCGCAGCCGGGAGGAGGCACAAGGACCUGGGCUGGAUGCACAAAGCAAAUGGGCUGUUGGCAAUUGCUGGGCGCUGCCUCAUCCCCCUGGCUGACUGGCUGCCUCCAACACACAGCAUCCCUACUGCUCCCAGGCCAGAUGAAUGAAACUUUGUCAGGAGAUCAGUGAAUGAAGAAGAAAGAGCUCGUUUCCCUUCCCAGAUCACUUCUCUGGACCCCUGGCUUACGGGAUUGAUCAAAGGUGAGGAGGGAGAAAUUUGGUUGGGAUCUCCUUGUUAAAACCCUGAAAACAGGCACGUUUGAGCGCUACUGAUAAUCAUUCGGUUUCUUAGCAUAUGAUAACUGCCUCCUAAAAUAUUAAUCAAAUCAUGUCUUGUGAUCCUAAAAAUAGGCUUUCCGAUUCCACUCUGUUCUCUCCUUAAGGUUUCUUGGAUGGUUUAUAGCUGUUGUGGUUUAACCUUUUCUGGCAUUUCACUGAUUGUAGCAACUGCUUUUCCAGAGAAAUGCAAAACCUGAUGGCCUUUCCUGGUGUGUACACACAUAUAGGUAUAUACCUACACACGCCACUCAGCUUUCCCAUCAUUUUGGUACAAGUAUCUCUUCACUGGUAUGCAAAUACAUUAAUCCACCCAAGGACAUCAGAGGAAUUUAUUCUAAAAUACGAUGCUGCGUAAUCCCAAACUCCUUUUAGCUCUUCCACCACCUCAUCUGUCCCAGCCCCCUCCAGGACAAGGUAGAAGAUACACACACGCCAGAAGAUUUUGGGGAAGCCGAUCGAUACGUGUGCCCCUCGCAGGUCCAGGAGCACGUUGAAUUCAUUGCUUCCUUUCUGCUGCUGCAAUGCUAAUGGAUGAGGUUCUAUAAAUAUUUGAUUGACCUGUCACUGCCAUGCUGCUCUCAUUUAUCACUUGCUCAAGUCAGAUCCGAAUUACUUCGGAAUAUUUUGUGCUGUCUUUAAAGAGUGUUCAAUUCUUCCCCCAACUACCUCACCCCUUCUCCACAUUGCCUGCAACACACCAGAGCCCACGAUGGAGCAACUCCUGAAAACGGCCAGGAAAGAAAACAGAGCCAAGUUCUCAGGGCAAUGGGAUAGAGAAGGUGAAUUUAAAGAGAUGCAAAAAUAACCCAGAUGGUGCAGGAUGUAUGAAGGGUGAACCCGCCCAAGCCUCAGGACGAGGGAGUACACGCUGCAGUCUAUGAGAUCAACAGCCCCUUUCUGCGAUUUCCAUAGCGCUGAGUCCCAAAAGAGGAUCACAGAUUUACAAGAAAUUCAGGUAAUUUGCUCGUCAUGUUACCCAUAGGAAGUGAGUAAUUCUCCUGUGCUCACUGCUCUAAUCAGAACCUGGGUAUUUUACUAGCGAGGGCUCUGGAAUAAAUUAGGAGAUAUAGUCCAUACAAUCAAAUUCUAUUCUGUUCAUUUUAACUCCUGUCUUCUCUAGAUUUUUACAUUGGGGAUGAAAUCAGCAAAUUUUAGGGCUUACCCAGACUGUUUAGAGAUGCAGCCCCUGAGCAUGCAGAGACCAGUGCUGCAUCGCUCCCAGUAAUGAGUCCCCCCGGGGUGCUCAUAGCCCCAUUUGCCCCGGGCUGCCACAAAGACCCUUCUCCCCUCGCUGCUAAAUCUGCUUGCCCCCCUUUAGCCCCCCUGCAAACCACCACCACAUCCACUCCAGUCCCAUAGUCUUCCCUGUUGAUGCCACGUAACCAUUUCUAUGGAUAUACCCUGUAAAAUCCUGGGGCUGAACCAGCUCUGGAAGUGAGUGGGAACUUGUGGUAUAACUGGUGUAUAAACCCCACGGGCUGAGUCGCCUCUGCACAAAUAAAUCCUUCUCUCAGCCAACAAAAAAAAACCAAACAAAAGCCCUGCACAUUGAACUGAUCCUAUCAUUAGAACUACCCCUCUCAUUAGCUCUCCCCCUCUGCCUCCUCCCUUCCUCAUGUCAGCAAUACACCGAUCCAUCCUGCUUAUACCAGCUCCUACCUAUACUCCAAUUACUUUUUCAUCUCCCCCACCGGCUGUUUUCAAUACUAUUAUCUGCUGCAUUUGCUGGAUCUGGCUCUCAAGCGUUUGACUGAUGCCUGAUUCCUGUAACCAGAACAUGUCUGUUGAUUGGACUGUCAAUGGAUUUCUUGGCAGAAAGGGCAUUGGGCCUUGCAAAUGUGAAACUGUAUUUCAAUCUCAUUUAGGAGGAGAGAGAGAAAGAAAAAUAUCCUAAAGCUACAUUUUUCCUUGCUCUCUUUGAACAAGUGCUUUUAGUAAACAAGCGUUUUACCUUUUUUUAAUAAGGUCAUUUGUGACAUCACUUUCUUACCAGAAGAAGAAAAAAAAAGGAACAUUUUGUGUUGUGUAUUUUCAGCACUGGAAUGCUCAUCUGUAUUUCGCAGCAAACUGCAUCUUCCCAAUUCUUCUCUGGGGAGGAAAAGAGUGGGGAGGGAGCAGUACAUCCAUCUCUGUCUCGGGGCUGCCUGCUGCAAGACGAGCGGCAAAGCCGUCUCCUGGCCAGCCCUCCGCAUGCCUGCUCGCAGCCAGAGCCUCUCUGCAAGAAUGCACCUUUGACUUUCCUAAAUAACAAUGCAAUUACCUUCAAAAGCUGGCAGCCAAAGUACGUGCUGAGAAAUGGCUACUAUUAAGAAGAAAUUAUCCGCUCUCAGGGAAUGGCCAAUUUGUUAACUGGUGAAGGAGGAGAAAGAUUCCAGCGCCAGACCGUGUGGGUGUAAGGAUGGUGAUGGGAGAACGGCUCCUUCCAGGCAGCCCCGGCCCAAGGCUGGGGAAAUCUCCUGGGCUUUGAAGGAUGAGCCCUGGGUGUGUUGGAUCCAGUGCAGUUUACUCCCAGGUGCAAAUAAGCAGGUAGACACAGUGCAAAUCUCCUCUGUGCAGGCAGCAGAGUCACACCAGACAUGGGAGCUGCUCACGAGGAAUCAGCAAAACGGUCCCACUGCUGGAGAUCUGAGCUCAAACAAGACCUUGUCACCUCCUGGUGGCAAAAGGAGGUGGCCAGAAUUGCUGGUAUCACCUGAUCUUCCAAAAGCCCCUGAGGUCAGGAACCACAUUUGCAAAACAAAGUCAAAAGCAGGAGAGAAGACAAUUUUUGAGACAGGAAAGACUGAGGCAUAAAUAAAUUACUUAAGGUUGACUUCCAUCAGUCUGUACCUUUAGGGCUGGACAGGUGAGUUCUCACACACUAAAUAUAUUUUUCCCACUGGCUUAUCAAGGGCUCUUCAAUACAUACAUUCAAGAUAACCGUGAUCUACACAGGAAGAUCUAUAUUCUGCUUAACAUCAGAGGCAACCUUUGAUAUUGCACCAAGUUACAGAGAGCACCGUGUGACAUUUUCUUAUCUAAAUGCAACCCCAAGAAGCCCACCAGUGAGUUAUCUGGGAACACAGCUGAUAUCACUGGUGCUGACAGGGUUAUGUCUGAAAACAUUAGCGUGUUCAAACUCAGAGGCUUUCUUGAGACCUUUCCUGAAGACAAAAACAACCCUCGAUGACUUGGCAAUGGAUCUGGUGGGCUUACAGUGCUAAAUAAAUAACAGCAGAAUCAGAGGACUUUGAGGAUGACAAGGUUUUCUAGGUCACAUUGUCUUUUUUUUCCCCCUCGGCCAAUACAGAGUGUUUUGUAGAGUGUAGCCUUGAGACUUCUUCCAAACCAGCCCUAAAUGUUACAAGCAAUGCAGUUUGACAACUGCUUAGUAGAUACACAUGGGCAUUGGCUUUGUAGGUGCUGAAGCUGUUUGAGUAUAGCUGUUAAUCUAAGCAAGUAUGUUUUGAAUAUUUAUUACCUCUUUAAAAGGAAUGAGCUUGGGAAAAAUACAGUCUGGCAGAGGUUGUGCAGAAAACUCCUCCCUGAAAAGGGAUGGAUAAUCACUUUCCUCCAUCCUAACAUCCUUAAUCCAUUGCUCCCAUGCUCUCCUGGUUAGGAGGAGACAGCCCAGAUGUGGAAGAGGGGUUGGACAUGGACCUAGUGCCCUUUCAAUGCUUCCAGGUAAAAAAAAUCCUGGAAAAACAGGCAAAACUGGAAUUUGCUGCCUAAAAGACAGAGCAGAAGCAGAGCCAGACCUGCCGUGGGAGAUGGGGUAAGGACAGCGCUGCCAAUGGAGGGCAGAAUGUGCUGCUGGGAUUUUUGGACUCAAGUCCAUUUCUUCUUCUCGUAAAACUUCUUUCUUAUCUAUCUCCUGACUCUUCCAACAAAGACAUUGCACAAUCACAGGCAGCUGCAGUGAUGGCAGUGUAGAUACGUUAGGAAACACAGGCUUAGUGUCUGUAGUCUCCUCUGGGUCAAGCAGUAGUCUCAAAGGACGGGUCAUCAUGGAGGGAGCUCAGAGAGGUGGAGCAAGGACAUCAGCCAGCAGACAGUCAACUCCUACAGAGGUUCACUGGGCAGGAGACUGGGGCUUUCGGUUCAAAAAUCCCACCCUGUGAAGCAAAGUAGGCUGAGGAGAGGCUUCUUGGCUUCCCCAGUAGGACUCGAAGGCAAGGCAUGGCUUCACCAGAAGCAAUUUGCAAAAACACACACUAUGCAGUCCUAGUACUGAACUCGUACAUUUUACAGAUGUCUGUGUCAGAGCCAGAACCUCGUUUCUCACGGCUACAUUCAAAACACUCCAGCUUCAGGCAAAGCCAUUCUUAGGCUUCUUUGCUGAGCCCCAAGGAAAAGGGGAUGCAACAAGAGGCAGUUUUGGGUGCUAUGGACUUGCUGCUAAGGACUAGGAGCCAGGGGAGCAUCAGUGUCUGGUGCAGGGGUGACCACAGGUACCACCUCCCUGUGCCACCAAUGUCCUUCGCCGACCAACGUGCGCACUGCACAGUGCCGGAGUGAAGCACAGUUAGGGGAAGGCAGACAGAAAGAAGGCAGAAUUAAUACCACAGCAGCCUGAAAAGCUGCAGCAGCGGGCCAAGAAGAGGUUAUUCCCCUGAUACAUCUCCUCUUCCCCCUCCCCAUCAUGCCAGCAGCCUCUUUAGCUUCACACGGAGGUUGUGAGGAUUCAUUAGUUAAUGUUUGUGAAGUGCUGUAUAGAUGGAGAGAGAUAUGUAAGUGCUAAGUAUUAUUAUUAUUACAGAGAGUCGCUGUUAAGGCAAUGGAUAUGCUCUUAAGUGUCAUUUCAUAUUUAAUUAACAUACAAUAAUUGUCUUCCUAAACCUGCAGGUAAAUCUUUAUUCCUGACAUUUCCUUUAAAGAGACAUCACAGCAGAGCUGCUGCUAAUGGGCCUCCUCCCUGCUGGCCUUGACUGGGGAGGACUGGGAUUAACUGGGAUGGGGGGAAGCAGUGGGGAAAGGAGGGCAGCAAGGGCUUUUUGUCCCUGGAGGGUGGCGGGUGCUGCCCCUUGGGUGGGGGACAGAGCUCUUGUGGGACCUGGUGAAGGGGACAAGUCCGCAGCCUUUCUCUAAGGUUUCCCUGGGGUCAGGCUGUUGGCAGCAUUGUCCAAGCAUCACACGUGUCUUCUAAGUAAUUAAACACAGCUGCAGCUGUGCACCUUGCCAUUAUGGGUAGAAUUAAAGAAAUUUUUAAAAAAGAGGAUAAAGAAGCAUGAAAGCGUGGUACUGGGAAUUUCCCUGCUAUUUUUCAGGGACGUCUUUGCCAAGAAAUGGUCUUUCUCAGAAAUAGGCUGCAUAUCUUUUACCGACAGAGGGAAACAAGGAGAAAUCAUCUGUGGGACCGUCUGCUCCCCUAGCAAAUGGAAAGGGGAAGCCACCUCUCCCACCUCCCAGUGAUGUCUGCAUUUUCAAGAGAGACAGGAGAAGUAAAAAAAGCAGCAGUCCAUCAUUAUUAACUCAGAAGUAACUUGCCUACAGGAGACAAAGGAGGAUGCCUGGGCCCUUUGUGUGUCUUUCUUUACCCAAACGUCUCUAUUCUCUUGGAUUUGUUGACAAAUCAGUGCCCUCUAUGGGCAUCUCUCUGAAAAGUCCAAAGGACAGGUUUCCUCAGGUUGCUCCCAGGGUGCGCAGGGGGAGCCAUGGAUGCUGCAUCGAGCCUGGUACCCUGCUCUUCAUGACCCCCUUCCCCACGGCAGGCCUGCAGGGACAGCAGGCCCGCCCUUCCUUUAUUCCCCACAUGCCCUCCCCACUCCCACAGCAAUUCUAAGGUGGCCAUCUGGAUGUUCCCCAUCAGGGUUAAGUGCUCUGAAGGUCACGGGAGAUAAAGCUCCUGCCACCACCAAGGACCAGGCUUUGCUCCGGCUCUGCCCCCAUCUCACCCUCCCCUUCUCUCCCCAUGGUCCCCAAGGCAGCCAAAGUGACAGGGCCCCAGGAGCUCACUCCUCACUGUCCCCUUCAACCUCCCCCUUUCUUUCCUUCUCUCUCAUUUAUUUCAAUUUGCUAUGCUUUCCUAGGUGGCUUUUCAGCAUUAGUUGGUGAGGGGGAGAGGAGAGGAAGGAGGGGAGGGAAGGGGAGAGGGAUGUUUUCAUGGUGGAAAGCCAAGGAAACCCCCAUGUUGCAGGGCUGGGUGGUGGAUGAGGGUCUGCAGACGUUCAGCUGCAAAAGGGAAGGGGGACGACAGCAGCUGAACAUCCGCGUGGGAGCUGCAGGGGAGGGGGAUGUCAGCCAGCAGCUCGUGGUGAGAUUUAAAAAUGUAAACUCAGAUGUAAGGUCAGGCUGGGGGUCACAGGAAAAUUGGCCAAUUUUUUAGGCUGAUUUUGGGAGUAACCUCUCACAGCUCAGAACAUAAUGUGGGUCAGCGGAUUGGCAAAGUGCUGUCAGGACCUCCGGAUGCUUUUGUGGCAUCUCAGACUACCGCAGCUGACUAUUUAAUUGCCAGUUCAGGGGAACAAGGGCAAUUGUCUUUCGGAGAGAAGUGGUACUGAAGCACUGGAAGGUUUGGGGCAUGAGUCAGACUGCUGUGUGAAAGGGAUAUUUGUGAAAUUCAUCCUCAGUGCAAGCGCCACAUUGCUGUGAUUCGUGGUCGAAGGGGAAGCACCUCUGUAACAGCAUUGCUCAUUUGCUCGGCACCUCAUGGGUUUUGCUUUCCUUCUUGGGUUCCAAAAUGGCUUCACUUUCCAGGAAUACCCCUCACAGGUUCCAGCUGUCCUAGCAGACACAAGAUCUGAGUUCAUCACCUCCUGCUUCCCUUCCUGUGACUGUGCCAUCACCUGUCACCAUGCAGAAGCUUUUCUACCAACUAUUGAGCCAGCCCAGACUGCCAUAAGCCUGGUGCUUUCCAGAGCACAGCAACUCUCUGGUCCCUCACAAAUGCAACCUAAGGUACAAACCCAGUAAUUAAGACCCUGUAAUUCCCAGGCAUGGCUCACGUUAUCCACAGCACUCCUUCCCUUAAGGAAUCAGGCUGAUGUGUGAUGUUACCACCAUCCAAAAGCCUGUUUCUGUGAUUCCUUGUCCUGUAUGUGUCCUCAGCAGAUCCUUAGGGAGGUGGUUUGCAGGGUCUGUCCUCUUUUAUUCCCUAAGAUACCCUUCACGAUGGCUGUAAGAAACUCCCUAGUUAAACCAUUUACUUGUGGAUUGCUUUGAUUCUUUGUACUCACUCAGCUGUUGUCUGGAAAGGAGAAGCAGCGGAGAUGUACUUGAGGAAGGACAGACCUAAAAAGGACACUUCAAGUUAGCGUAUAAAAUCAAAACCUGAAACCAUUAAAAGCCUCAACAUACAGCUGACAAAUAAGGUAUAUAUUUACUGCUGACAUGAUCUCCUAUCUGACAUACUAGAUUAUAGUACUAAUUUUUAAUUAAUCUUUGGGGCAGAAAAUGAACCAACCUAUUUCUCUAUAAAAUAUCUCAUGCAUUUUGGA